UACGUAGGUGGCAAGCGUUGUCCGGAUUUACUGGGCGUAAAGGGCGCGUAGGCGGGCCGUCAAGUCGAGGGUGAAAUCCCCCAGCUCAACUGGGGAAGUGCCUCCGAUACUGGCGGCCUCGAGGGGGAUAGGGGCAUGCGGAACUUCCGGUGGAGCGGUGAAAUGCGUAGAUAUCGGAAGGAACACCGGUGGCGAAAGCGGCGUGCUGGAUCCCUUCUGACGCUGAGGCGCGAAAGCCAGGGGAGCGAACAGG
RNAcentral lists this ribosomal RNA (253 nucleotides) under uncultured bacterium. RNAcentral's name for it is "partial 16S ribosomal RNA". It matches the Rfam family "Bacterial small subunit ribosomal RNA", at positions 524 to 776 of the family's 1533-position model. The record is from RNAcentral.